GCAGGCAGCCCACUCUUGUUGCUGCCAUCAAAUAACAAACGAAAGUUUGUGGGAAAGCGCAAAACAAAGAGAGAGCAGCGAAGGACAGACAGACGCUUGGGCGGAAGAUACAAGAAUUCACAGCAAGUUGGCAAAAAAAUUUUCCCGCUGAUUUCAGUUAUCAACAAAGCGAGCAACAGUAAGGCAAUAACAAGAAAACAACGGGAAGCAAAGCGCCAGUAAGCUACGCGCAUCGAAACGUGAAAAAGUGAAUGCGAGUACGUCGAAAUUGCGUUGCGUGUUGCCGAUGGUUUUAUGAGUGGCGGAUUUAUUUUUGCGAAAAACGGUUUGGUGUAAUUAGAUAAAAUUCAACUAAUCAUGCAAAAGCUCCAAUAAAAUUGUUGCUAAAAUCGAUAUACUUAAUAAAAAACCAGUCUAAAAUAAAACCAAAGCUUAACUCUAAAAAUACAAAGCAAAUUAAAAAAAUGUUGUUGAACAAAAAGUAUUUUUGAAACAACAACGAUCAAAAACAGCAGCACGCUUACAGCAGCCAUCAAAAGGAGUUGCAAACACUAAUAAAAAAAAAAAAUACAAACUACAGCACCUACCUACGCUGCUAUAAUUCAACAAACGUCAGCCGCCAAUUUUCGUGAAAAUUUCGGGCUUUCUAGGAAACUUUCUCUCCAAAGGCCUGAAAACCAAUCAAUUGGAGGUGAACACUGAUGAAAAAACUUUACGACCAAUUGCGCG
Long non-coding RNA from Rhagoletis zephyria (snowberry fruit fly), 729 nucleotides. RefSeq lists it as uncharacterized. Lineage: Eukaryota; Metazoa; Arthropoda; Insecta; Diptera; Tephritidae. The record is from RefSeq and is a predicted model, not a curated record.